This 909-nucleotide ribosomal RNA is filed under the name uncultured bacterium. RNAcentral describes it as "bacterial SSU rRNA". It matches the Rfam family "Bacterial small subunit ribosomal RNA", at positions 584 to 1504 of the family's 1533-position model. The record is from RNAcentral.
AAAGUUGGUGGUGAAAUCCCAGAGCUUAACUCUGGAACUGCCAUCAAAACUUUUCAGCUAGAGUUUGAUAGAGGAAAGCAGAAUUUCUAGUGUAGAGGUGAAAUUCGUAGAUAUUAGAAAGAAUACCAAUUGCGAAGGCAGCUUUCUGGAUCAUUACUGACGCUGAGGAACGAAAGCAUGGGUAGCGAAGAGGAUUAGAUACCCUCGUAGUCCAUGCCGUAAACGAUGUGUGUUAGACGUUGGAAAUUUAUUUUCAGUGUCGCAGCGAAAGCGAUAAACACACCGCCUGGGGAGUACGACCGCAAGGUUAAAACUCAAAUGAAUUGACGGGGACCCGCACAAGUAGUGGAGCAUGUGGUUUAAUUCGAAGAUACGCGCAGAACCUUACCAACACUUGACAUGUUCGUCGCGACUUUAAGAGAUUAAAGUUUUCGGUUCGGCCGGACGAAACACAGGUGCUGCAUGGCUGUCGUCAGCUCGUGUCGUGAGAUGUUGGGUUAAGUCCCGCAACGAGCGCAACCCUCACUUUUAGUUGCCAUCAUUAAGUUGGGCACUCUGAAAGAACUGCCAGUGAUAAGCUGGAGGAAGGUGGGGAUGACGUCAAGUCCUCAUGGCCCUUACGUGUUGGGCUACACACGUGCUACAAUGGUAUCUACAACAGGAAGCGAAACAGCGAUGUUAAGCAAAUCCUUAAAAGAUACCUCAGUUCGGAUUGCACUCUGCAACUCGAGUGCAUGAAGCUGGAAUUACUAGUAAUCGUGGAUCAGCGUGCCACGGUGAAUGCGUUCCCGGGUCUUGUACACACCGCCCGUCACACCAUGGGAGUUGGUUCUACCUUAAGGCAAGGUUUAAUACCCUUGACCACGGUAUAGUCAGCGACUGGGGUGAAGUCGUAACAAGGUAACCGUA